This 65-nucleotide transfer RNA is filed under the name Dipodomys ordii (Ord's kangaroo rat). It matches the Rfam family "tRNA". From Rfam's summary of the family: Transfer RNA (tRNA) molecules are approximately 80 nucleotides in length. Their secondary structure includes four short double-helical elements and three loops (D, anti-codon, and T loops). The record is from Rfam by way of RNAcentral. Lineage: Eukaryota; Metazoa; Chordata; Mammalia; Rodentia; Heteromyidae.
GGUGGCUCAAUGGUAGAUUGCUUGCUUUAAAUGCAAGAAGCCCUGGGUUCAAUUCCUCAGCACCA